RNAcentral lists this ribosomal RNA (427 nucleotides) under uncultured bacterium. Its description in RNAcentral is "partial 16S ribosomal RNA". It matches the Rfam family "Bacterial small subunit ribosomal RNA", at positions 355 to 774 of the family's 1533-position model. The record is from RNAcentral.
UGGGGAAUAUUGCACAAUGGGCGCAAGCCUGAUGCAGCCAUGCCGCGUGUAUGAAGAAGGCCUUCGGGUUGUAAAGUACUUUCAGCGGGGAGGAAGGUGUUGAGGCUAAUAACCUCAGCAAUUGACGUUACCCGCAGAAGAAGCACCGGCUAACUCCGUGCCAGCAGCCGCGGUAAUACGGAGGGUGCAAGCGUUAAUCGGAAUUACUGGGCGUAAAGCGCACGCAGGCGGUCUGUCAAGUCGGAUGUGAAAUCCCCGGGCUCAACCUGGGAACUGCAUUCGAAACUGGCAGGCUAGAGGCUUGUAGAGGGGGGUAGAAUUCCAGGUGUAGCGGUGAAAUGCGUAGAGAUCUGGAGGAAUACCGGUGGCGAAGGCGGCCCCCUGGACAAAGACUGACGCUCAGGUGCGAAAGCGUGGGGAGCAAACA